GGACGGCCAUUUUAUGGCCGGAGGGGGGGGCGCUGAUGGGAGGGCUCGGCCGGGCGACGACAGCUUCCCAGCCUUGUGCUGCCCCGGGCAUGGGCAGCUGACACCCGUACGCUCCCGCUGGGAAAAGCAGAAAGCCGGAGGAGGCUCGGCGUCGUGCCCCGCCGGACAGCGCCUCCGCCCUCCCUCACAGGGGAGAAGGCGGUGCCGCCCCCCUCCCCUGCUUUGGAUGGGGCCAGCAGAUUAUGUGCUGAAAACCAUCUUGGAGGAUUCAAAAUACUGUACAGGAAGGCUGGGCCACAAGACUUGUAGAACAGUUGCAUAAAAAGAAUUUAAAACCUGCUUAGGAGGCAGUCCUGGGAGAAGAGACAAUGAAGAAGAUUCUACUUAUGUAAAAAUGGAUGCACUGCAAUUCAUUUUUCACUUUGAAAACAAGUCGAGUUUCAACCAGAGUCAAAACAAAUGCCUUCUAGGAUCAAAGCCAAACAAUUCAGAGUUAAUGUUUGAUUCUCUUUCUGGUAUCUAGCAAUAAGUAACUAAAACUACGUUCAAAACAAACACCAAAAAAGUUAUCACAAGGUUUCAGCAGGGGACAGUUAGCUGUCAGUUUUAAGGCAUUUAUGUGUUUUUUCCCCAUUUCUUUUGGCCUUCCUGAAACAUGCAUGAAUUUUCAUUCAUGAAAAGUGGCAUGAAAUGAAAAGAUGAAAUCUUAUUUUGGACAGCCAAAAAAAUGCAAUAUUUACAGUCUGGUCUAUAGCCUGGACUUCGGUAUAUCCUUUUGAUGAGCAAGCUGUAAGAAAGAGGAGAGAAGGUUAUGGUUUUAAGAUGUCUUACUCCAAGCUGUAUACUUCACUUCUCCCCACCCAUCUCAAUAAACAUCUACAAUUGUGCAGUUAAAAAAAAUCAUUAUUUAAAUUUAACAGAUUACAAGUUCCUUUCAGCCUUAUAAUGAAACAAUAAAUUAAGGCUCUGAUCUAGGAUCAUUCUUUCAAAUUCUGUAUUCUAAGUCUUUUUUUUUUUUUUUGUAGCAAUGUGUCAGCAAACUAGGAUAGUACAGAUAGAUAUGUUCAAGUGGUAUGUAAAGACUUUAGUGGUGAGGGAGGGAAGCAAAAAGGCAAGCUGUCAGUUGACGCUAUGACACUAUAAUUUCUGCCACAAAGUCAUAUUUAUCCUUGAUUUUCCUGGGCAUUUCUGAAAAUACUGGGAACCUCCUGGACAGUUACUAGGAGGAGCAUAACUGAUACAUAAAACCCAAGAAGCAUGUUUCCAAAGCAUCAUGAUUACUUGUGAGAAGAAUUAUUUGGGAAUUGUCUUUUAGAGAAUUGUCUUUUAGAUAUCUGCUCUAAAAGCUCUAGAAUGCUGGUUGAAGUCAUUUUGCAACUGUUGACAAACACUUAGAUUCUGCAGACUCACAUAUCUAAGGAUAUCGAGGUGGGGAAAAAAAAGUCUUGAGUGUUGUCAUUCUAGUAUUGAGGCAGCUGAGAAGGUGUUAAGGAGCCUAUGGAAAGAGCUGAGCU
Cygnus atratus (black swan) is the source of this 1514-nucleotide long non-coding RNA. RefSeq lists it as uncharacterized. Lineage: Eukaryota; Metazoa; Chordata; Aves; Anseriformes; Anatidae. The record is from RefSeq and is a predicted model, not a curated record. The transcript has 3 exons.